This 301-nucleotide ribosomal RNA is filed under the name uncultured bacterium. RNAcentral describes it as "partial 16S ribosomal RNA". It matches the Rfam family "Bacterial small subunit ribosomal RNA", at positions 509 to 807 of the family's 1533-position model. The record is from RNAcentral.
CAGCAGCCGCGGUAAUACGAAGGGGGCUAGCGUUGCUCGGAAUUACUGGGCGUAAAGGGAGCGUAGGCGGAUCGUUAAGUUGGGGGUGAAAGCCCGGGGCUCAACCUCGGAAUUGCCUUCAAUACUGGCGAUCUUGAGUAUGGAAGAGGUAUGUGGAACUCCGAGUGUAGAGGUGAAAUUCGUAGAUAUUCGGAAGAACACCAGUGGCGAAGGCGACAUACUGGUCCAUUACUGACGCUGAUGCACGAAAGCUAGGGGAGCAAACAGGAUUAGAUACCCGGGUAGUCCCUGUCUCUUAUAC